RNAcentral lists this ribosomal RNA (1268 nucleotides) under Escherichia coli. Its description in RNAcentral is "partial 23S ribosomal RNA". It matches the Rfam family "Bacterial large subunit ribosomal RNA", at positions 419 to 1691 of the family's 2925-position model. The record is from RNAcentral. Lineage: Bacteria; Pseudomonadati; Pseudomonadota; Gammaproteobacteria; Enterobacterales; Enterobacteriaceae.
GGGACACGUGGUAUCCUGUCUGAAUAUGGGGGGACCAUCCUCCAAGGCUAAAUACUCCUGACUGACCGAUAGUGAACCAGUACCGUGAGGGAAAGGCGAAAAGAACCCCGGCGAGGGGAGUGAAAAAGAACCUGAAACCGUGUACGUACAAGCAGUGGGAGCCUCUUAAUGGGGUGACUGCGUACCUUUUGUAUAAUGGGUCAGCGACUUAUAUUCUGUAGCAAGGUUAACCGAAUAGGGGAGCCGAAGGGAAACCGAGUCUUAACUGGGCGUUAAGUUGCAGGGUAUAGACCCGAAACCCGGUGAUCUAGCCAUGGGCAGGUUGAAGGUUGGGUAACACUAACUGGAGGACCGAACCGACUAAUGUUGAAAAAUUAGCGGAUGACUUGUGGCUGGGGGUGAAAGGCCAAUCAAACCGGGAGAUAGCUGGUUCUCCCCGAAAGCUAUUUAGGUAGCGCCUCGUGAAUUCAUCUCCGGGGGUAGAGCACUGUUUCGGCAAGGGGGUCAUCCCGACUUACCAACCCGAUGCAAACUGCGAAUACCGGAGAAUGUUAUCACGGGAGACACACGGCGGGUGCUAACGUCCGUCGUGAAGAGGGAAACAACCCAGACCGCCAGCUAAGGUCCCAAAGUCAUGGUUAAGUGGGAAACGAUGUGGGAAGGCCCAGACAGCCAGGAUGUUGGCUUAGAAGCAGCCAUCAUUUAAAGAAAGCGUAAUAGCUCACUGGUCGAGUCGGCCUGCGCGGAAGAUGUAACGGGGCUAAACCAUGCACCGAAGCUGCGGCAGCGACACUAUGUGUUGUUGGGUAGGGGAGCGUUCUGUAAGCCUGUGAAGGUGGCCUGUGAGGGUUGCUGGAGGUAUCAGAAGUGCGAAUGCUGACAUAAGUAACGAUAAAGCGGGUGAAAAGCCCGCUCGCCGGAAGACCAAGGGUUCCUGUCCAACGUUAAUCGGGGCAGGGUGAGUCGACCCCUAAGGCGAGGCCGAAAGGCGUAGUCGAUGGGAAACAGGUUAAUAUUCCUGUACUUGGUGUUACUGCGAAGGGGGGACGGAGAAGGCUAUGUUGGCCGGGCGACGGUUGUCCCGGUUUAAGCGUGUAGGCUGGUUUUCCAGGCAAAUCCGGAAAACCAAGGCUGAGGCGUGAUGACGAAGCACUACGGUGCUGAAGCGACAAAUGCCCUGCUUCCAGGAAAAGCCUCUAAGCAUCAGGUAACAUCAAAUCGUACCCCAAACCGACACAGGUGGUCAGGUAGAGAAUACCAAGGCGCUU